RNAcentral lists this ribosomal RNA (474 nucleotides) under uncultured bacterium. RNAcentral describes it as "SSU rRNA". It matches the Rfam family "Bacterial small subunit ribosomal RNA", at positions 26 to 518 of the family's 1533-position model. The record is from RNAcentral.
AGGACGAACGCUGGCGGCGUGCUUAACACAUGCAAGUCGAGCGGAAAGGCCCUUCGGGGUACUCGAGCGGCGAACGGGUGAGUAACACGUGAGUAAUCUGCCCCUAGCUCUGGGAUAGCUCCGGGAAACCGGGAUUAAUACCGGAUACGACCACUUUAGACAUCUGUUGUGGUUGAAAGAAUUUCGGCUAGGGAUGAACUCGCGGCCUAUCAGCUUGUUGGUGAGGUAACGGCCCACCAAGGCGACGACGGGUAGCCGGCCUGAGAGGGCGACCGGCCACACUGGGACUGAGACACGGCCCAGACUCCUACGGGAGGCAGCAGUGGGGAAUAUUGCGCAAUGGGCGAAAGCCUGACGCAGCGACGCCGCGUGGGGGAUGAAGGCCUUCGGGUUGUAAACCCCUUUCAGCAGGGACGAAGCGAAAGUGACGGUACCUGCAGAAGAAGCGCCGGCUAACUACGUGCCAGCAGCCGC